GAUGAACGCUCGCUACAGGCUUAACACAUGCAAGUCGCGGGGCAGCAUGGGGGUUGCUUGCAAUCCCCGAUGGCGACCGGCGCACGGGUGAGUAACGCGUAUCCAACCUGCCCUUCACCACGGGAUAACCCGGCGAAAGUCGGACUAAUACCGUAUGUUGUCCAUUGACGGCAUCCGAUUUGGACGAAAGGUUUGGCGGUGAAGGAUGGGGAUGCGUCCGAUUAGCUGGACGGCGGGGUGACGGCCCACCGUGGCGACGAUCGGUAGGGGUUCUGAGAGGAAGGCCCCCCACACUGGAACCGAGACACGGUCCAGACUCCUACGGGAGGCAGCAGUGAGGAAUACUGGUCAAUGGGCGUAAGCCUGAACCAGCCAAGUAGCGUGCAGGAUGACGGCCCUAUGGGUUGUAAACUGCUUUUAUGCGGGGAUAAAGUGGCCCAAGUGUGGGUUUUUGCAGGUACCGCAUGAAUAAGGACCGGCUAAUUCCGUG
This 490-nucleotide ribosomal RNA is filed under the name uncultured bacterium. RNAcentral describes it as "partial 16S ribosomal RNA". It matches the Rfam family "Bacterial small subunit ribosomal RNA", at positions 28 to 507 of the family's 1533-position model. The record is from RNAcentral.